CCGGCGACCGGCGGACGGGUGCGUAACGCGUAUGUAACCUACCUUUGACAGGGGGAUAACAUCGAGAAAUUGGUACUAAUACCCCAUAACAUCACCGGAGGCAUCUUCGGUGGUUGAAAACUCAGGUGGUCAGAGAUGGACAUGCGUUGUAUUAGCUAGUUGGUGAGGUAACGGCUCACCAAGGCGACGAUACAUAGGGGGACUGAGAGGUCAACCCCCACCAUUGGUACUGAGACACGGACCAAACUCCUACGGAAGGCAGCAG
This 265-nucleotide ribosomal RNA is filed under the name uncultured bacterium. Its description in RNAcentral is "partial 16S ribosomal RNA". It matches the Rfam family "Bacterial small subunit ribosomal RNA", at positions 88 to 354 of the family's 1533-position model. The record is from RNAcentral.